RNAcentral lists this transfer RNA (65 nucleotides) under Anopheles parvus. RNAcentral's name for it is "tRNA-Tyr". The record is from RNAcentral. Lineage: Eukaryota; Metazoa; Arthropoda; Insecta; Diptera; Culicidae.
GAUUAAAUGGCUGAAGUUAGGCAAUAAAUUGUAAAUUUAUUUAUGAGAAAUUAUCUCUUUAAUCA